This is a non-coding RNA of Pelodiscus sinensis (Chinese soft-shelled turtle), 760 nucleotides long. The record is from RefSeq and is a predicted model, not a curated record. NCBI's taxonomy places the organism in Eukaryota, Metazoa, Chordata, Testudines, Trionychidae.
UUUUUAAGUGGUAUAGCAGUGGUGCAUAAAACAGGGCUUUAAGUAGGACUAUAUGAGACACCUGCUAUAGACAGUUAGGUGGUCUGGACUAUGAUGUCAUCAGUAUGCAGAUGAGAUGAACUUCUGUCUCUCCUUUCCCUCACAUACACAUGGUGUGACGUCUCUGGUCUCCCAGUGCCUUUCCAGAGGUGAGGCUAGUUAUGGAAAGCAGUGAGAGUUUGGGAAAUGGUGUGUGUGUCAUUUAUCAAGGAGGUUCUCAAGUAUGCAUGACACAGUAGUGGGCAGUGAUAUUAAACUGUGGCUCAGACUUCCAGGGCUCUGUGUGCGCUUUCCUGCUGCUUGAUAAAACUGACAGAGGCACAGUGAGAAAUGAAAGCCACUUUUGAAUCAGAUGCAUAAAAAGUCCUAUGGACAACAAUAUAAGCCAAAGAAGUUCAGUGCUGAUGAACUGUUCAGGCUGCCAUUUUGUCUUCCUGCUCCUGGCCAGGCAGCUCCUUUGCAGAACUAGGUUCUCCACCCCAUGGAGCAGCCUACUCCCCUCUUCAAGGGUCUGGGUCCCCACAGUGGUCCUCUCCACCCUAGCAAGGGUCUGGCACCUCUGCAGGCAACAUCCAGAAUCAAAAUGGCAUCCUCUGUGCAGCAUGACCUCGCAGCUACAAGGACACGAUUAUCGUUUUAAAGAGCAGGAUGGUGUCCUCAGCACAGCAUGAUCAUGGCAGACACACGCCCAGUGCCUGGACCACAAGAAAAUCCAGCAGGA